The sequence is a ribosomal RNA, 3767 nucleotides long. It matches the Rfam family "Bacterial large subunit ribosomal RNA". The record is from Rfam.
GGUCAAGGUACUAAGGGCAUGCGGUGGAUGCCUUGGCGAUGGAAGGCGAUGAAGGGCGUGGUAAGCUGCGAUAAGCCUCGGGGAGCCGCAAACAGGCUUUGAUCCGGGGAUUCCCGAAUGGGGAAACCUGAUUGGUCGUAAGACCAGUCGCCGAAAGGUGCGAACCGGGGGAAGUGAAACAUCUCAGUACCCCGAGGAAAAGAAAUCAAACGAGAUUCCCUGAGUAGAGGCGAUCGAAAGGGGAAAAGCCUAAACCAGUGCGAUGUUCAAGCCCGUAGGCGUUGUUGCACUGGGGUUGUGGGACACAGUUGGGCGAGGCUACGGACUCGCCGGGGAGUUACAAAUCUUCUCCUUAGCUGAACCAUCUGGGAAGAUGGGCCGGAGAGGGUGACAGCCCCGUAAGCGAAAGGGAGAAGACUCCUUGAACUGUGUUCCCAAGUACCGCGGGACCCGGGAAAUCCUGCGGGAAUCUGGGGGGACCACCCUCCAAGGCUAAAUACUCUCCAUCGUCCGAUAGUGCACGAGUACCGUGAGGGAAAGGUGAAAAGAACCCCGGGAGGGGAGUGAAAUAGAACCUGAAACCGCAUGCCUACAAUAAGUCGGAGCCCGCAAGGGUGACGGCGUGCCUUUUGAUUAAUGAGUCCGCGAGUUGUCGUCAGUGGCAAGGUUAAGCCGGUAGAGGCGGAGCCGUAGCGAAAGCGAGUCCGAAUAGGGCGCAAGUCACUGGUGGCAGACCCGAAGCCGGGUGAGCUACCCCUGGGCAGGAUGAAGGUGGGCUAAACCCCACUGGAGGUCCGAACCGAUGGAUAGUGAAAAAUCCUCGGAUGACCUGGGGGUAGGAGUGAAAAGCUAACCGAACCCGGUGAUAGCUGGUUCUCCCCGAAACGCAUUGAGGUGCGGCCUCGAGUGGUCUGUGCAGGGGGUAGAGCACUGAUAGGGCUAGGGGGGUAACCUCCGAACCCUGUCAAACUCCGAAUCCCUGUACAUAAAACUCGGGAGGAAGUCUGUGGGGGAUAAGCUCCAUGGACAAAAGGGAAACAGCCCAGACCAUCGGCUAAGGGCCCAGAGAGAUGGCUAAGUGGGAAAGGAUGUGGUGCACCCCAGACAACUGGGAGGUUGGCUUAGAAGCAGCCAUCCUUUAAAGAGUGCGUAACAGCUCACCAGUCGAGGUGCACUGCGCCGAAGAUGUAACGGGGCUCAAGCCAUCCCCCGAAGCCAUGGGUCUGUACACUAUGUACAGGCGGUAGGGGAGCUUUCCGCUGUAGGGUGAAGGUAGACCCGUGAGGGCUACUGGACGAGGCGGAAGUGAGAAUGCGGACAUGAGUAUGCGAGAGGAGAGUGAGAAUCUCUCCCCCCGAAUGCCCAAGGGUACCUGGGGAAGGGUCGUCCUCCCAGGGUUAGUCGGUACCCUAAGGUGAACCCGAAAGGGAUAGCCGAAGGGAAGCUGGUUAAUAUUCCAGCACCACCUGUAAUCGAGGUGCGAGGGGUGACGCAGAAGGGUAAGCGCCGAGGGCAAGUGGCAUUCCCUUCCAAGCGGUUAGGGCGUUGAUGGGUGUAGGUAAAUCCGCACCUGGAGUCUGAGCCGUGAUGGGAAGGACCCGUGAGGGUCCAACGGCGUUGACCCCACGCUGCCAAGAAAAGCCUCGCGUACCGUUCGAGGUUGCAGGUGACCGUUCCGCAAACCGACACAGGUGGGCGAGCUGAGAAAGCUAAGGGGAGCGGGAUAACCCUCGCCAAGGAACUCGGCAAAUUAACCCCGUAACUUCGGGAGAAGGGGUGCCGCAGUAGGGUGAACUCAGGGGAAAGGGCAACCUGGAAACUGAGGGAGCCUGAAGCGGUCGCAGUGACAAGGCCCUAGCGACUGUUUACCAAAAACACAGGCCUCUGCAAACUCGUAAAGAGGAUGUAUAGGGGCUGACGCCUGCCCAGUGCCGGAAGGUUAAGGGGAGGGGUGAGGCCGCAAGGCGUAGCUCCAAACCGAAGCCCCGGUAAACGGCGGCCGUAACUAUAAAGACCGUUGUAGUUACGGUAAAAAACUCGGCUGUAUGCGGGAAACUCUGGAGUGCCGGUGGGUACCACAGGUGUGGUAACAAUCCCACGGAGUGCGAAAGCGCCAGACAACCCGCAGGAAACUCAUCUAAGUUAAGGAGAAUUUUCCAUGCUGGACGUUAAAAGAAUUCCACCGAAAAUAGGUUACUACCUUGCAGGCUUUGCAGACGGAGAAGGGAGUUUCAUGGUUGUUGUAAGAAAGAAAGAUGAUUAUAAAAGUGGUUGGAAGAUAUCUGUAGCUUUCAAUGUCUCGAAUAAAGAUAAGGUAGUGCUUGCACUUUUUAAAAGGUAUUUGAACUGUGGAACUCUCCGUCAGCGUAAAGAUGGUGUGUGGUACUAUGAAGUAGGUAAUUUCAACGCGAUUGUGGAAAAUGUGAUACCUUUCUUUGACAGAUUCAGAUUUCUUUCUGCAGCCAAGAAAAAUUCAUAUUCAAAAUUCAAAAAAGUUGUAGAAAUAAUUGGAAGAUCUGAACAUACGACAAAGGAAGGCAUUGAAAAGAUAUUAUCUUUGAGGAAUCAAAUGAGUAAUAAUCGGUCAAAGCGAAAACACACCGAUCAGGAAGUUUUGGGUAGCUUAGAUGAGGAUCCUCAGAGACCAUACGCCGAGCAUCACAUGGGUUUGACCCCAAACGGGGAUGCGCCGCCGACCCAUGGAUGAUGAUAUGGUCCAAUCCCUAUGGUAACAUAGGGCCUAAAAUGGGAUAGCCUCAAUUGAGGUGAAUGAAGUAUUAACGAACGGUCCUAAGGUAGCGAAAUACCUUGCCAGGUAAGUUCUGGCCUGCAUGAAUGGCGUAACGACUGGGGCACUGUCUCGGCGAGGGACCCGGUGAAAUUUCAGUGUGGGUGAAGAUGCCCACAACCUGCGGCUAGACGGAAAGACCCCGUGGAGCUUUACUGCAACCUGGUAUUGGAUUCUGACACAUCGUGUACAGGAUAGGUGGGAGGCUGUGAACCCGGCUCGUCAGGGUCGGGGGAGCCGUCGGUGGGAUACCACCCUCGGUGUGUCGGAAUUCUAACCUGAACCUGUGAAGAGCAGGUUGGGAACAGUGCCAGGUGGGCAGUUUGACUGGGGCGGUCGCCUCCUAAAAUGUAACGGAGGCGCGCGAAGGUCGGCUCAGGUGGGUUGGAAAUCCACCGAAGAGUGUAAGGGCAUAAGCCGGCCUGACUGUGAGACCGACAGGUCGAGCAGAGACGAAAGUCGGCCCUAGUGACCCGGCGACUCCGAGUGGAAGGGUCGUCGACAACGGACAAAAGUUACCCCGGGGAUAACAGGCUAGUCUCGCCCGAGAGUUCACAUCGACGGCGAGGAUCGGCACCUCGAUGUCGGCUCAUCCCAUCCUGGGGCUGAAGCAGGUCCCAAGGGUUAGGCUGUCCGCCUAUUAAAGGGGUACGUGAGCUGGGUUCAGACCGUCGUAAGACAGGUCGGUCCCUAUCGGCCGCGGGCGCAGGAGGUUUGAGGGAGGUCUCCCCUUGUACGAGAGGACCGGGGAGAGUGGGCCUCUGGUGUACCGGCUGUCCUGCCAGGGGCAUACGCCGGGUAGCUAUGCCCAUAAGCGAUAACCGCUGAAGGCAUCUAAGCGGGAAGCGCGUCCCAAGAUUAGACCUCCCAUCCCUUAAGGGAGUAAGGCCGGUCCGAGAAUAGGACCUUGAUAGGCCGGUGGUGUAAGCAUCGUAAGGUGUUGAGCCAACCGGUACUAAUAGGCCGAGGCCUUGACCUU